AGCGAACGUUUGCGGCGGGCCUAACACAUGCAAGUCGAACGGGCUAGCAAUAGUCAGUGGCGCACGGGUGCGUAACACGUGGGUAAUCAACCCUUCAGCUCGGGAUAACGCCUUGAAAGGGGCGCUAAUACCGGAUACGACGCGAGGAGCUUCGGCUGCUUGCGGGAAAGCCUCGCAAGGGGGCACUGAAGGACGAGCCUGCGGCCCAUCAGCUAGUUGGUGACGGUAAGAGCUCACCAAGGCGAAGACGGGUAGCUGGUCUGAGAGGAUGAUCAGCCACACUGGAACUGAGACACGGUCCAGACUCCUACGGGAGGCAGCAGUGGGGAAUAUUGCGCAAUGGGCGAAAGCCUGACGCAGCCACGCCGCGUGAGCGAUGAA
This 381-nucleotide ribosomal RNA is filed under the name uncultured bacterium. Its description in RNAcentral is "bacterial SSU rRNA". It matches the Rfam family "Bacterial small subunit ribosomal RNA", at positions 29 to 412 of the family's 1533-position model. The record is from RNAcentral.